Molecule: RNA transcript, 1863 nt
Organism: Colossoma macropomum (tambaqui)
Lineage: Eukaryota; Metazoa; Chordata; Actinopteri; Characiformes; Serrasalmidae
Gene name: cytochrome P450 2J5-like
Exons: 10
Source: RefSeq, a predicted model, not a curated record
AUGGAGUCUGUGCUGAGAUAUUUGGACUGGACUUCAGUGGGCUUGGCCCUGCUGGGUGGUCUGCUCUCUCUGCUUCUGCUAGAGAUCUUCAGGUUGAACUCCUCCAGGAGCCGCUACCCUCCCGGACCCAAACCGUUGCUCUUUGUUGGUAACCUGCCACAGCUCAUAAACACCCCAAUGGAACUCUUCAGAUCGAUGACAAAAUAUGGGGAGAUCUGUUCCAUGUACCUAGGCAGGCAGCCAGUAAUAGUGUUGAAUAACCUGCAGAUAACGAAGGAAGCUUUUGUUCAGAAUGGGGCCGUGUUUUCUGGAAGGCCGGCCAUGCCAGUGAUCGACUGGAUUACCAAUGGGUUUGGUAUCCUGGCAGCCACAUAUGGUCAUUCUUGGAAACAGCAGCGCCGCUUUGCUCUGCACACUCUGCGCAACUUUGGUCUGGGGAAGAAAACAGUGGAGGAGCGCGUGGCCGAGGAGGCUCAAUACCUCAUAAAAGAGAUGCUCAAGCAGGAAGGGAAGCCUUUUUACCCCAUCCACGUAAUUAUGAAUGCAGUCUCCAACAUCAUCUGCUCUGUCGUGUUUGGGGACCGCUUUGAGUAUGACGACAAGCAAUUUGCUAAGUUGCUGGAAUUUCUCAAUGAAAACCUUCGCCUUCUUGGAUCAACUGCAGGACAGAUCUUCAACCUGUUCCCCUUCAUAAAGCACUUCCCAGGACCACACCAUAAGGUGUGGCAGAAUGCCAACUCCUUAAAAGAGUUCAUCCGUGAGGCCGUGGAGGAGCACAGGAAGUCUCUGGACCCAGAACACCUUCGAGAUUUCAUUGAUGCCUACCUUGUGGAGAUGACCAAGCAAGUGUCAAAAGAAGACUCUUCAUUCCAUGAGGAUAACAUGAUCAUGUCCACUGCUGACCUUUUCCUCGCUGGAACGGACACCACAGCCACAACUCUCAGAUGGGGCCUCAUUUACAUGAUGGACCACCCUGAUGUGCAAGAGCGCUGUCAUGAGGAGAUCAUUCAGGUGUUGGGUUUUGACCGUUCUCCCUGCAUGGAUGACCGCACACAGCUGCCAUAUACUUAUGCCACCAUCCACGAGAUCCAGCGCUGUUCCACCAUUGUCCCCACCGUGUUGCAUGACAUUACACAGCCAACACAGCUCCGGGGAUACAACCUCCCAAAGGGAGCAAUGGUGAUGUGCAAUUUAAUGGCCAUCAUGACUGACAAAAACCACUGGAAGUACCCAAACACGUUCAACCCAGAGAACUUUCUGGAUGAAAAAGGACAGUUCUGCAAAAAUGACUUCUUUGUGCCGUUCUUUCUGGGUCCGAGAGCAUGUCUGGGUGAGACUCUGGCGAGAACUGAGCUCUUCAUCUUCUUCACCUCUCUGCUUCAGCAGCUGAAGUUCUCGUGGCCUCCUGGAGCUCCACGCCCAAACAUGGAUGGCAUCUUGGGCAUCGUCCGCUCUCCAUGUCCCUUCAAUACAAUCUGCCUCAGCAGAGAGACCACUCACUGAAUCCUGUUCAGCCUUUACACCAUAAAUACACGAUUUUAAUUCUGGAUUUAACUCAACUCAACAAAAACACAUUAUCAACUCUUACUUUGUACCAUCACUAACCUGAGAUAAAUGUCAGAGAGAGCCAGACACAACCUAACAAACAAUCUGACCUAUCUGUAUGAAAGGCCUCAACAUGGCCAAUUUCACACAUUUACUUAAAUUUGAAAAGUGAUCUUGAAAUAGCGCAAAAUUUAUUAAUUUUAAUAAUUUUUUUGUUUUAAAUGUUUCAAAACUGCACAACUUUCUGUAUUGUAAAACUGUAUACAUAUGUGUGUGUGUGUGUGUGUGUGUGUGUGUGUGUGUGUAUGUGUGUGUGUG